AAGAAGGUUACAUGAGUUCAAAAUCCCCCACACUGAUGCAACCCAACACCUCGAGGUUCUGAAGAAGAAAAUAGUAAGUUCAAAAGGCACGCUCAAGUUGGGUCCAAGACUCGGGACAUCACAAGAGUAAGUAGAUUCCUCAAAGUUCAAGAUCGUUUACAAGUGCUGGUGUACGAUAUGGUCCUAAAUACUAACAAGCGCCUACAACACACCAUUCAGUCCCACUGACUUCACCCCCAACUCCAGAAUGUCCCCAAUCGUUUCAAUUCCCAACUCAUGGUCUGGUUGGUUUUGGGAUUCGACUCUCUACACCUAGAUUUCGCUACAAAAUUCUCCUAUGCCACUACUAACUACAACUCAGGUAAGGUCAAGUGUAUUAGUGACUAGGGGUUGGACUUCUACGAUGUGGUCUUCGUUAACGGGUAUAACCUCCUAAUACUAGUGGUAGCAAAAAGAUGGUACUAGAGGGAGAUAGAAUUCCAUGGAUGCCUGGUGGACCUGAACGGGGCGGCCGAGCUUAGAGUAGUGAGUGGGGCUUGAGCUUUAUGAGCAUCACUUGCAAAAGUGCGUAAGGCGUUCGGGAAUCCACAGUUCUACCAUAUGCAACACCCAACACGUGUUGGCCAUUGGCGUACUCAGAGUUCUUCAGGCCCAUGUGCGCACAUGCGUAUAUCAGAUAUCACCAUAGAAACUUAAGACUAUACCGAUAGAUUUUUCGUUACUUUUUUCGUCUUUUUCUUUUAAUUGAUAAUUGAUUUUGCAUCAAUUAAAUCUUUUGUUUUGUUUUCCAUGGUUUUAUGUAGUUGAAUAAAAUUCACUUAUUCAAACCCUAAGGUCUCGAAAAUAUGCUCGGAUAAGGUGCCUUACGAUGUAUGUGCCGCAUCUCGUUCAUUAUUAUUUGAUUUUAUAUAAUUUGGCUACAUUUUAUGAUUAUUAGUGUGUUCUUGCAGUUGCCUGAGUUUCCACAGGGCCCUAAUGAUGAUGAUGAUAAUGUACGAGACAUAAAUCUUUCAAUAUAUUUUGAAUUUCGAUUGCA
Molecule: non-coding RNA, 1036 nt
Organism: Camellia sinensis
Lineage: Eukaryota; Viridiplantae; Streptophyta; Magnoliopsida; Ericales; Theaceae
Source: RefSeq, a predicted model, not a curated record